RNAcentral lists this ribosomal RNA (556 nucleotides) under uncultured bacterium. RNAcentral describes it as "partial 16S ribosomal RNA". It matches the Rfam family "Bacterial small subunit ribosomal RNA", at positions 355 to 932 of the family's 1533-position model. The record is from RNAcentral.
UGGGGAAUAUUGCACAAUGGGCGAAAGCCUGAUGCAGCAACGCCGCGUGAGUGAUGAAGGCCUUCGGGUUGUAAAGCUCUGUCUUUUGGGACGAUAAUGACGGUACCAAAGGAGAAAGCCACGGCUAACUACGUGCCAGCAGCCGCGGUAAUACGUAGGUGGCAAGCGUUGUCCGGAUUUACUGGGCGUAAAGGAUGCGUAGGCGGAUUUUUAAGUGAGAUGUGAAAACCCUAAGCUUAACUUGGGGACUGCAUUUCAUACUGGAAAUCUAGAGUGCGGGAGAGGAGAAUGGAAUUCCUAGUGUAGCGGUGAAAUGCGUAGAGAUUAGGAAGAACACCAGUGGCGAAGGCGAUUCUCUGGACCGUAACUGACGCUGAGGCAUGAAAGCGUGGGUAGCAAACAGGAUUAGAUACCCUGGUAGUCCACGCCGUAAACGAUGAGUACUAGGUGUAGGAGGUAUCGACCCCUUCUGUGCCGCAGUUAACACAAUAAGUACUCCGCCUGGGAAGUACGAUCGCAAGAUUAAAACUCAAAUGAAUUGACGGGGUCAUAGCUG